RNAcentral lists this non-coding RNA (235 nucleotides) under Pan troglodytes (chimpanzee). The record is from RNAcentral. Lineage: Eukaryota; Metazoa; Chordata; Mammalia; Primates; Hominidae. RNAcentral also lists the same sequence under 1 other name.
AUUUUGUCAGGCACAGCUGACUAACCUUUCUCAUGCAGGUAUGUUCUGGGCGGAGGGGCCAUCUGCAUGGAACUUCUCACCAAACAGGGCUGGAGCAGUGCCUACUCCAUAGAGUCAGUGAUCAUGCAGAUCAGUGCCACACUGGUGAAGGGGAAAGCACGAGUGCAGUUUGGAGCCAACAAAUCUCAAUACAGUCUGACAAGAGCACAGCAGUCCUACAAGUCCUUGGUGCAGA